UCAUCCCAGCUGUGCAAGCUGAGGAACAAGUUUGUACCAGUUCCUGACACUGUGAUGUUUCAGAUCUUGAUUUGCCUGUGACUUCCUGAAUUUUUCAUCAAGAGUUUUGUUUACGGAGAUGUUUACAAUACACUGGAGCUUUGUCCUUUGUGAUAUGUUGCUGUCAUGUGCUGGGAUUAUGCUACGACUUUAGAGAAGCUGUAACUUUCCAAUUU
Molecule: long non-coding RNA, 215 nt
Filed under: Parus major (Great Tit)
Lineage: Eukaryota; Metazoa; Chordata; Aves; Passeriformes; Paridae
Description: lncRNA (ENSPMJG00000002270.1)
Source: RNAcentral